This 201-nucleotide unclassified non-coding RNA is filed under the name plant metagenome. RNAcentral describes it as "partial contains small subunit ribosomal RNA, internal transcribed spacer 1, and 5.8S ribosomal RNA". The record is from RNAcentral.
UCUCCGUUGGUGAACCAGCGGAGGGAUCAUUAUCGAGUUUAUAACUCCCAAACCCUAUGUGAACUUACCACUUGUUGCUUCGGCGCGCGCUUCGGUGCCGCCGAGGACACUUAAACUCUUUGUUUUUAUAAGCAUUUCUGAGUGGCCGAAAGGCAAAAUACAAAUGAACCAAAACUUUCAACAACGGAUCUCUUGGUUCUG